Molecule: long non-coding RNA, 3465 nt
Filed under: Selaginella moellendorffii
Lineage: Eukaryota; Viridiplantae; Streptophyta; Lycopodiopsida; Selaginellales; Selaginellaceae
Description: long non-coding RNA (SMOE_LNC002255)
Source: RNAcentral
UUGGAGAUUCCCUCUCCGACGCUGGCAACUCCCUCAUCGCAUUCCCACAUACUUACAAGCGCCUCAACACGUCGCCCUAUGGCGAGACCUUCUUCCAUCAUCCCGCGGGGAGAGAGAGUGACGGGCGCCUCAUUGUCGAUUUCUUGGGUGAGAGCUCGAAUCUAUUUUAUCCUGGGAACAGUGUCUCGAUUUUCUUUGCCGCGAUCUUUGUCUGAUUCUUUGAUUCUUGGGUUAUAGCUGAAGGCUAUGGAUUGCCGCUGCUAGAUCCAUACUUGCUGCUGUCCAAGGGGAGGAAUUGGCGCCAUGGCGUGAAUUUUGCGGCGGGAGGAGCCUCGGCGCUUCCCCUUCGAUUCUAUGACCAACACAACAUAUCGCUCGCGGGAUCACGGCACACAUUCCCGCUCGAUAUCCAGCUCCGGUGGUUCCAGGAUUUCCAGAAUGUGUCAAUGCUGCGCUCGAAUCAAGGUACUCGAUCGAUCAAUCCAUUUCGCAAGCGAGAAAUUUCACUCUUUUUCACUCCAGGGAGAAGAACACACCCUUCUCUGCAUGAUUUCUCCCAGGCCCUGUACAUCGUGGGCGAGAUCGGUGGAAACGACUAUGGAUUCAUGAAGAAGAGUGGCCUGGAUUACCCCCAAAUGAUGGAAUUCGUCCCGUUCGUCGUGCAGGCCAUCCGGGAUCUCAUCCAGGCAAGGAUGAACUUUCCCAAUCCUCUGCUUUUGUCAGUUUACUCUCGCGCAUUGAUGGAUCUCUCGAUCUCACACUAAAUUUCUCCACAUGGUGGGCAGAAUCUCUACAACUUGGGCGCGCGCAAGUUCCUGGUGACCAACAUCCCGCGCCAGGGAUGCAAUCCCAGCUUCCUCGUCUCGCGCCGUCCCAGCGAUCGCUUGGACGAGCUCGGCUGCAUCGCGGAUUUCAACGCGCUCAAUGCCCACCACAAUUCGCUGCUCCGAGAGGCAGUGGACGAUCUCCGCGUCAGCCUAGCCGGAGCGUCGAUCGCGCACGCGGAUUUCUACAGCGCGAUUGAACCGAUCUUGCGAAAUCCUCAAUCAUACGGUAAAUUUCCAUCUCUGUUUCUACCUUUAUCACCUGGUUAAACCGAGAGUUUACACGCAGGAUUUACCGAACCUCGUACGGUAUGCUGUGGUACGCCCUGGCUAACGCAGGUCGUUGAUUGCGUGGACGGUGGGAUGAUCAACGGCAUCCUGACGAAGGGCCAGACGUGCGCCGACCCGUCAGUUCACAUAUACUGGAAUGGAGUUCACUUCACGGAACACUUAUAUAAUAUUGUCGCAAACGCCUUUCUCACGGGACAAUAUGUUGAUUUAGUCGCAAACCCAAAGCUUGACCAGUAGAUAGAUAGAUACAAAGCCAAGAGAUUAAAGAAACUUGCGGGAUCUAUACUGCUGGGAAGUUCUUUCGAAAACCAAACACGUCAUUGGACUCACGGAAGUGAAGAUCUGGAGAAUGUAUGGCACACAGGACUAUAGGGUUUGUCUCCAUUAUGCUAAAACUCAUUUUAAAAAAUAGAAUAGUGGAAAAACAAUUUAACAAAUGAUAUUUAAUUUUAAGAACACAAUAUGGAAUCUGCUAAAAUUUCAAAGUAUAUUCAUUACUAUCAUAAAUUUGCUCCAUCUUUUAUAAAUAAUUGUCAGGAACUUUUCAUCAUUAUUAUCAAUUUCAACUAUUACAAAUUAAUCAAGAGCUUCAUACCAAUGGGAAUAUGCUAAUGAAAUUUUUUAUUAUUUUGAAUUGGAGAAUUAAAUAUACUAAUUUAAAAGGUUAAGAAGUAUUAUUAUAUACAAAUAAAUAGCUUUAAAUAGUUGAGUCUACAAGAUAGUGUAAUAUAGACAUUACAAGUAUUAAUACUAUAAUAGUGCAUUUAUUUUUAAUAAUGUUUAUAUUUUAUUGAUGUGAAAUUUCAAAAUUUUUGAGCAACAUAAUUUCUAUAAAAUUAUUUCUAUUUUUAGUAACAGAAAAAUGUGUAUAUAUUCAUAUUAAAUUAUUAGCUAUUUAGCUAUAUAUAAAUCUACUAAAGUUAAUAUUUUAACAACUAUACAUACUAAUAACAAAUAAACUAAAAAUUUUGAUUAUUGAGUAUGCAAAUAUUUAUUUACCUUUUACAUGUAUACAAUAUUAUAGUCAUUAUUUAGAGUUAAAAUAUAGUAUUCUAUUGUAAUGAUACUUCACUUAUAAAAAUAAAUUUUUUAUAAUUUAAUAUAUAUAUAUAUAUAUAUAUAUAUAUAUAUAUAUAUAUAUAUAUAUCAAUGUCUUAUAUUUUCAAAAAAAUCAAUAAUAUAGAACUCAAUAAAUUAAAAAUAUUUUUUAUUAUUUAUUUUAAAAAGUAGAUAUAAAUUUUAUUAAUUUUAUUGUAAGAAAAGCUUACAUAAUCUUGGUUAACUUUUUAGUGAUAUUUAUUUUUGUUCAAAAGAUUUAUCUUUUUUCACAAUGAAAUUUAAUAUAUUAAUCUAAAUAAUAUUAAAAAAUAUAUAUUAUUUAGUGGUUAACUUCAUUAUCAAACCUUAUUUGUGUUAUUCUUUCAUUUUUAUUUUUCUAAAUUUAAAAAAAAAUUAUAGAAAUUUUCAAUUCAAUACUUUUAGAAAAUCACACAUUUUUCAAUGGAUAAUUCAAAUGUACAAUUGUACGAUUACAUUGUUAAUUUUGUAAGAAAAUUUUCCUAUAUUAUAAGUGUUACUUUUACUGAAACAUUUGCUUAAAAAUCAAGAAUUUUUUUCCAAUAUAAAAUUUAUGUUUUUUCAAUUAAGGAUGAUUUCUCAUUAGAUAUAUACUUUUGAUUUAUAUUUAUUUUCUUUUAAAUUAUAUAGCAACUGGAUAGUUGUAUGCUAAAGUAGUAUAAAAAAGUGGUAAUAAGUGAUUAAAAUUUUAAAAUUGUAUUAAAAUCAACUAAUUUUUGGCAAAAAAUUCAAAUUCUACAACUAUUUUGUUCUGAAAAUAGAUGUGAAUAUAAUAAAUUAGUUCAUAAAGAAAUUUUUAUAAAAAGUUAUUACAUAUUUUCAUGGUAAUUUCAGCUACUUUUUUUAAUCACUUUGAUGUACUAAUAAUCCAAAAAACAAUUGAAAACGAUUCACUGCCAAAAAGAAUAUGCUAGACUAAUUAAAGCUUGGUCAGUUUUCCGUUGGCUGUUUUAACAAAGCCGCUAGUCACAGAAUAUUCAUUGCUCACAUUCUCCCUGGCUCCACAUACUUACAAGCGCCUCUAUGGCGAGACCUUCUUCCAUCAUCCCGCAGGGAGAGACAGGACGCCAUGAUCUUUUUGUCUCAUUCUUCUUUGAUUCUAGGGUCAUAGCGGAGGGCUAUGGAUUGCCGCUGCUAGAUCCAUUCUUGCUGCUGUCCAAGUCCAAGGAGCGGAAUUUCAUCCAAGCAAGGAUGACUUCGUGUCAAUUCUCGCUUUUGUUUAUUUUCGUGUGAUUGAUUGAUCGAUCUCACCCACACAUGGUGCAACUUGGGC